UAUAGCGUGUCACAUUACUUUUAAUAUUAAUCUUAAAAAAUAAUUUUAAAAAUUAAAUAUUUUUUCUACCAAUGGAGUUAUUAGUCCCAUAAUUAAGUUAUUCUCUUUCUUCUUCGUUUUCAGCAUAUAAUGAUGCAUAUUAUAUCAUCAUAUGAUAUACACUAAAAUAUAUAGUCAGACGAUACAUACUGUAAGCUUUUUUGAUAUAUAACCAGCAAUGAUCCAAUACACAUCU
This 235-nucleotide long non-coding RNA is filed under the name Elaeis guineensis (African oil palm). RNAcentral describes it as "long non-coding RNA (EGUI_LNC026724)". Lineage: Eukaryota; Viridiplantae; Streptophyta; Magnoliopsida; Arecales; Arecaceae. The record is from RNAcentral.